Molecule: ribosomal RNA, 506 nt
Filed under: uncultured bacterium
Lineage: Bacteria
Description: bacterial SSU rRNA
Rfam family: Bacterial small subunit ribosomal RNA
Source: RNAcentral
UCAGGAUGAACGCUAGCUACAGGCUUAACACAUGCAAGUCGAGGGGCAGCAUUGGAGUAGCAAUACUCAGAUGGCGACCGGCGCACGGGUGAGUAACACGUAUCCAACCUGCCGCUUACUCGGGGAUAGCCUUUCGAAAGAAAGAUUAAUACCCGAUGGUAUAAAGAGUUCGCAUGUUCUCUUUAUUAAAGAAUUUCGGUAAGCGAUGGGGAUGCGUUCCAUUAGAUAGUUGGCGGGGUAACGGCCCACCAAGUCUACGAUGGAUAGGGGUUCUGAGAGGAAGGUCCCCCACAUUGGAACUGAGACACGGUCCAAACUCCUACGGGAGGCAGCAGUGAGGAAUAUUGGUCAAUGGACGAGAGUCUGAACCAGCCAAAAGUAGCGUGAAGGAUGACUGCCCUAGUGGGUUAGUAAACUUUCUUUUAUAAGGGAAUAAAGUGAGGGACGUGUCCCUUUUUGUAUGUACCUUAUGAAUAAGGAUCGGCUAACUCCGUGCCAGCCGCGGC